Molecule: ribosomal RNA, 253 nt
Filed under: uncultured bacterium
Lineage: Bacteria
Description: partial 16S ribosomal RNA
Rfam family: Bacterial small subunit ribosomal RNA
Source: RNAcentral
UACGGAGGGUGCAAGCGUUAAUCGGAAUUACUGGGCGUAAAGGGCGCGUAGGCGGUACGUUAGGUCUGCCGCGAAAUCCCCGGGCUCAACCUGGGAAUGGCGGUGGAAACCGGCGCACUAGGGUAUGGGAGAGGGUGAUGGAAUUCCAGGUGUAGCGGUGAAAUGCGUAGAGAUCUGGAGGAACAUCAGUGGCGAAGGCGGUCACCUGGCCCAAUACUGACGAUGAGGCGCGAAAGCGUGGGGAGCAAACAGG